GACGAACGCUGGCGGCGUGCUUAACACAUGCAAGUCGAACGGAAAGGCCCUGCUUGCAGUGUACUCGAGUGGCUAACGGGUGAUUCACACGUGGUUGAUCUGCCCUGCACUUCGGGAUAAGCCUGGGAAACUGUGUCUAAUACCGGAUAGGAGCCAUUUUUAGUGUGAUGUUUGGAAAGUUUUUUCGGUGUAGGAUGAUCUCGCGGCCUAUCAGCUUGUUGGUGGGGUAAUGGCCUACCAAGGCGGCGACGGGUAGCCGGCCUGAGAGGGUGGACGGCCACAGUGGGACUGAGAUACGGCCCAGACUCCUACGGGAGGCAGCAGUGGGGAAUAUUGAACAAUGGGAGCAAGCCUGAUGCAGAGACGCCGCGUGGGGGAUGACGGCCUUCGGGUUGUAAACUCCUUGCGCUAGGGACGAAGCUUUUUGUGACGGUACCUAGAUAAGAAGCACCGGCUAACUACGUG
This 465-nucleotide ribosomal RNA is filed under the name uncultured bacterium. RNAcentral describes it as "partial 16S ribosomal RNA". It matches the Rfam family "Bacterial small subunit ribosomal RNA", at positions 28 to 507 of the family's 1533-position model. The record is from RNAcentral.